Molecule: ribosomal RNA, 578 nt
Filed under: uncultured bacterium
Lineage: Bacteria
Description: bacterial SSU rRNA
Rfam family: Bacterial small subunit ribosomal RNA
Source: RNAcentral
ACGGGUGAGUAACACGUAGGCAACCUGCCCUCAAGCUUGGGACAACUACCGGAGACGGUAGCUAAUACCGAAUACUUGUUUUCUUCGCCUGAAGAGAACUGGAAAGACGGAGUAAUCUGUCACUUGGGGAUGGGCCUGCGGCGCAUUAGCUAGUUGGUGAGGUAACGGCUCACCAAGGCGACGAUGCGUAGCCGACCUGAGAGGGUGAUCGGCCACACUGGGACUGAGACACGGCCCAGACUCCUACGGGAGGCAGCAGUAGGGAAUCUUCCGCAAUGGGCGAAAGCCUGACGGAGCAAUGCCGCGUGAGUGAUGAAGGUUUUCGGAUCGUAAAGCUCUGUUGCCAGGGAAGAACGCUUGGGAGAGUAACUGCUCUCAAGGUGACGGUACCUGAGAAGAAAGCCCCGGCUAACUACGUGCCAGCAGCCGCGGUAAUACGUAGGGGGCAAGCGUUGUCCGGAAUUAUUGGGCGUAAAGCGCGCGCAGGCGGUCAUGUAAGUCUGGUGUUUAAUCCCGGGGCUCAACCCCGGAUCGCACUGGAAACUGCGUGACUUGAGUGCAGAAGAGGAGAGUGGAAU